This 376-nucleotide RNase P RNA is filed under the name Bacteroidales bacterium. RNAcentral describes it as "RNase P RNA component class A". It matches the Rfam family "Bacterial RNase P class A". From Rfam's summary of the family: Ribonuclease P (RNase P) is a ubiquitous endoribonuclease, found in archaea, bacteria and eukarya as well as chloroplasts and mitochondria. The record is from RNAcentral. Lineage: Bacteria; Pseudomonadati; Bacteroidota; Bacteroidia; Bacteroidales.
GCCGCGUGCCGUUCUGCCGCUCCUGCCUUGUGCAGGGGAGGAAAGUCCGGACAACGCAGAGCGCCAUACUUCCUAACGGGAAGGUCCCGCGCAAGCGGGAACAGCGAGUGCCACAGAAAACAACCGCCUAAGCCCUGUUCGCAGGGCCGGUAAGGGUGAAAAUGUGGGGUAAGAGCCCACGUCGCGCUGUGGUGACACGGCGGGAGGGUAAACCUUAUGGGUUGAAAGGCCAAAUACACCGGGGCUUGAGGACUGCUCGUCCGAUCCCGGGGGGUAGGCCGUUAGAUCCCUUCGGCGACGGAGGGACCAGAUAAAUGGCAGAACGUCCGGGCCUGGCCCGGGCCGACAGAAUCCGGCUUACAGGUAUGCGGCCCUG